Molecule: unclassified non-coding RNA, 332 nt
Filed under: soil metagenome
Description: partial contains 5.8S ribosomal RNA, internal transcribed spacer 2, and large subunit ribosomal RNA
Rfam family: 5.8S ribosomal RNA (bases 1-120)
Source: RNAcentral
GAUGAAGAACGCAGCAAAAUGCGAUAAGUAAUGUGAAUUGCAGAAUUCAGUGAAUCAUCGAAUCUUUGAACGCACAUUGCGCCCGCCAGUAUUCUGGCGGGCAUGCCUGUUCGAGCGUCAUUUCAACCCUCAAGCACAGCUUGGUGUUGGGACUCGCGUUAAUUCGCGUUCCCCAAAUUGAUUGGCGGUCACGUCGAGCUUCCAUAGCGUAGUAGUAAAACCCUCGUUACUGGUAAUCGUCGCGGCCACGCCGUUAAACCCCAACUUCUGAAUGUUGACCUCGGAUCAGGUAGUAAUACCCGCUGAACUUAAGCAUAUCAAUAAGCGGAGGA